This is a non-coding RNA of Pelobates cultripes (western spadefoot toad), 663 nucleotides long. The record is from the annotation of a GenBank genome assembly. Lineage: Eukaryota; Metazoa; Chordata; Amphibia; Anura; Pelobatidae.
GAGGAUAGAGGUUCAUUUGUUUUGUUUGAUGACCUUUCAUCGUGUGGGAUUGCAUGCAGGGUCUUGGGCACACCGUGUGUCUAUUCCUUUGGGGUUUUGCUAUUACGUUUUGGGUAGCAUAUGUUGCCUUUCAUAGGGUCUUCGCGUGGGUCCCUAGUCUGGUUGCUGUGUAAGUGAGUGCAUUUUAAUUAGGGCGUUGUAGGGUUGGAGGACGUUCACAUUUAAGGUAAACAAGGGUACGUUCACAUUUAAGCCAAACUUAAAAAAUUCUCUGAGACAAGUAGGCUUUUAGUUCAGCUACUCUGUCCAUAAAUUUGAAAUUAACUUUGAAUUCUCACUUUAGUAAAUAACCCUGUAAGUGAAUUUCAAAUUUAACCCCUUAAGGACCGAGCCAAUUGUACAAGUUUUGAUCACAAUAAAACAUAAAUAAAUCCUGGAAUUUGCGCUUUAUGUUGUUCAACCAUAAUUCACCUUUUUCAUAUUAAUUGCACCCACGCUUAUUUUAUAUCAUUUUGUUCAGGAGAAACAGGGCGUUUUCGUUUCAUGUCAAAUAUUUAUAUAGGAAACAUAACUGAAUGUGAAAAAAUCUAAAAACAUAUGAGAAAUUAAGGAAUUUUGUUAUUUUUCAAGUUCUGCAUGACAUCUUAACUGUUAAUGUUAUAA